RNAcentral lists this transfer RNA (49 nucleotides) under Rhinolophus pearsonii. RNAcentral describes it as "partial tRNA-Thr". The record is from RNAcentral. Lineage: Eukaryota; Metazoa; Chordata; Mammalia; Chiroptera; Rhinolophidae.
GUCUCUGUAGUAUAUUACAUUACCCUGGUCUUGUAAACCAGAAAAGGGG